Molecule: unclassified non-coding RNA, 207 nt
Filed under: soil metagenome
Description: partial contains 5.8S ribosomal RNA, internal transcribed spacer 2, and large subunit ribosomal RNA
Source: RNAcentral
AACCAUAGAAACCUGCGGAGUACCUGCGGAAGGAUCAUUACCGGGUUUACAACUCCCAAACCCCUGUGAACAUACCAAUUGUUGCCUCGGCGGAUCAGCCCGCUCCCGGUAAAACGGGACGGCCCGCCAGAGGACCCCUAAACUCUGUUUCUAUAUGUAACUUCUGAGUAAAACCAUAAAUAAAUCAAAACUUUCAACAACGGAUCU